UACAGAGGGUGCAAGCGUUAAUCGGAAUGACUGGGCGUAAAGGGCGCGUAGGCGGUUAAUCAAGUUGGAUGUGAAAUCUUUGGGCUUAACCUAAAGACGGCAUGCAAGACUGAAUGACUGGAGUGCAGUAGAGGAGAGCGGAAUUUCCGGUGUAGCGGUAAAAUGCGUAGAGAUCGGAAAGAACACCAGUGGCGAAAGCGGCUCUCUGGACUGUAACUGACGCUGAAGUGCGAAAGCGUGGGGAG
Molecule: ribosomal RNA, 245 nt
Filed under: uncultured bacterium
Lineage: Bacteria
Description: partial 16S ribosomal RNA
Rfam family: Bacterial small subunit ribosomal RNA
Source: RNAcentral